GCAACUAAAAUCAGUGAAUGCCUGCCCGCCAGCAGCAUCUCGCUUUUGCAUUGUUGCUAGAGUAAUCUGCUGGACAAGUUCAUCAGCUGAGUGCAGUCUCCA
This 102-nucleotide small nucleolar RNA is filed under the name Drosophila pseudoobscura pseudoobscura. RNAcentral describes it as "snoRNA:GA29810". The record is from RNAcentral. Lineage: Eukaryota; Metazoa; Arthropoda; Insecta; Diptera; Drosophilidae.